UGGGGAAUUUUGGACAAUGGGCGAAAGCCUGAUCCAGCAAUGCCGCGUGUGUGAAGAAGGCCUUCGGGUUGUAAAGCACUUUUGUCCGGAAAGAAAUCCUUGGCUCUAAUACAGUCGGGGGAUGACGGUACCGGAAGAAUAAGCACCGGCUAACUACGUGCCAGCAGCCGCGGUAAUACGUAGGGUGCAAGCGUUAAUCGGAAUUACUGGGCGUAAAGCGUGCGCAGGCGGUUUGCUAAGACCGAUGUGAAAUCCCCGGGCUCAACCUGGGAACUGCAUUGGUGACUGGCAGGCUAGAGUAUGGCAGAGGGGGGUAGAAUUCCACGUGUAGCAGUGAAAUGCGUAGAGAUGUGGAGGAAUACCGAUGGCGAAGGCAGCCCCCUGGGCCAAUACUGACGCUCAUGCACGAAAGCGUGGGGAGCAAAACAGGAUUAGAUACCCUGGUAGUCCACGCCCUAAAACGAUGUCAACUAGUUGUGGGGAUUCAUUUCCUUAGUAACGUAGCUAACGCGUGAAGUUGACCGCCUGGGGAGUACGGUCGCAAAGAUUAAAAACUCAAAGGAAUUGACGGGGUCAUAGCUGUUUCCU
RNAcentral lists this ribosomal RNA (588 nucleotides) under uncultured bacterium. RNAcentral's name for it is "partial 16S ribosomal RNA". It matches the Rfam family "Bacterial small subunit ribosomal RNA", at positions 355 to 1375 of the family's 1533-position model. The record is from RNAcentral.